AAAUGGGAAAGAUGUAGAACAUAAAAUAGUAAAAGAAAAAGGGAGAUGAGUCGUUAGUGCGUGGAAAGAAAUCAAACAAAGAAAAAAAAACAAUAAAGUAAUGAAUAAAAGACAAUCAAUAUUAGUAUGGGUGUUAAACAAGGAGCAGGUCUUGUCUUUUAUGUAAGCGCACGCCACGCAUUAAAAGGAGGCAGAGCCUCUUUUCUCUAGGCUAUUACGGAAAAACGGUGGCUUUCUCUCAAUUUCUCCUUGGUUCUUCGUAUAAAAAAAAAAUGCUGAUCUACGAAAAUCUAGCCAUUCGAUUUUAGAUCCGACUUUGGUAACGUGAUCCUCAAAGCUCGAUCUACGUUUUGACCGAACGUUUUGAGAUUUUCUGUGGUUUGGAGUUGGUAGGAGCUUCCCGAACAUUUGGUCUUUGCUUGACAAAUUUUUGUAAUGCAUUGCAGGGUGGUGUCUAGGAGACCUAGUGCUUAAUAUCCGCGCAACCAAGAUGCGGCAAACCCCCGCAACCGUGCAGACAUUGAUGCUUUGGUUGCAGGUUCUGCGGAUAUAGAUAAUGACUCGUCCACCUAGCGUAUGGGAUAUUAUGAUUGGAGCACAUCGCGACAGUCAUAUGUCACAGACUCAUGGGUAGUCUGCAUUUGGGUAUUUUAUUUAUGGCUCGUGUCAUACGUGACAUAUGUAUUUAUUGAGCCUGUAUUUAGUAUGUAAUUAGUGUAAUAUGUUUUAUAAGCUUUAAUCAGUUAGACAUGUAAAUGACUCUUGUCGUCGAUAACAGUUAUAUAUUAGAUGUAUUUCCGCUAUUGAUAUGUGUUCCGUUGCACAUGAAUAUUUAUAUUCCGCUGUGUUAGAUGUAACUCUGAAUAUCAGGUACAUGUUAUGGAACGUGUACCUAUGUUGGCUGAGCGGCAAAUAGUCGUGCCACUGUGAAGAUCCGUUUAUACGUUUUCA
Molecule: long non-coding RNA, 951 nt
Organism: Alnus glutinosa
Lineage: Eukaryota; Viridiplantae; Streptophyta; Magnoliopsida; Fagales; Betulaceae
Exons: 4
Source: RefSeq, a predicted model, not a curated record